UGAACGCUGGCGGUCGGCCUAACACAUGCAAGUCGAACGGCAGCACAGUAAGAGCUUGCUCUUACGGGUGGCGAGUGGCGGACGGGUGAGGAAUACAUCGGAAUCUACUUUUUCGUGGGGGAUAACGUAGGGAAACUUACGCUAAUACCGCAUACGACCUACGGGUGAAAGCAGGGGAUCUUCGGACCUUGCGCGAUUGAAUGAGCCGAUGUCGGAUUAGCUAGUUGGCGUGGUAAAGGCCCACCAAGGCGACGAUCCGUAGCUGGUCUGAGAGGAUGAUCAGCCACACUGGAACUGAGACACGGUCCAGACUCCUACGGGAGGCAGCAGUGGGGAAUAUUGGACAAUGGGCGCAAGCCUGAUCCAGCCAUACCGCGUGGGUGAAGAAGGCCUUCGGGUUGUAAAGCCCUUUUGUUGGGAAAGAAAAGCAGCAGGUUAAUACCCCGCUGUUCUGACGGUACCCAAAGAAUAAGCACCGGCUAACUUCGUG
This 490-nucleotide ribosomal RNA is filed under the name uncultured bacterium. RNAcentral's name for it is "partial 16S ribosomal RNA". It matches the Rfam family "Bacterial small subunit ribosomal RNA", at positions 30 to 507 of the family's 1533-position model. The record is from RNAcentral.